This 492-nucleotide ribosomal RNA is filed under the name uncultured bacterium. RNAcentral's name for it is "partial 16S ribosomal RNA". It matches the Rfam family "Bacterial small subunit ribosomal RNA", at positions 30 to 507 of the family's 1533-position model. The record is from RNAcentral.
AUUGAACGCUGGCGGCAUGCUUUACACAUGCAAGUCGAACGGUAACAGGCCUUCGGGUGCUGACGAGUGGCGAACGGGUGAGUAAUGCAUCGGAACGUGCCCAGAGGUGGGGGAUAACGCAGCGAAAGCUGUGCUAAUACCGCAUGUGAUCUGAGGAUGAAAGCGGGGGACCAGGCAGCAAUGUUUGGCCUCGCGCCUUUGGAGCGGCCGAUGUCAGAUUAGGUAGUUGGUGGGGUAAAGGCCUACCAAGCCGACGAUCUGUAGCUGGUCUGAGAGGACGACCAGCCACACUGGGACUGAGACACGGCCCAGACUCCUACGGGAGGCAGCAGUGGGGAAUUUUGGAUAAUGGGCGCAAGCCUGAUCCAGCAAUGCCGCGUGCGGGAAGAAGGCCUUCGGGUUGUAAACCGCUUUUGUACGGAACGAAAAGGCUCUGGCUAAUACCUGGGGCUGAUGACGGUACCGUAAGAAUAAGCACCGGCUAACUACGUG